GAUGAACGCUGGCGGCGUGCCUAAUACAUGCAAGUCGAACGCAUUGUGGUUGAAAUGAUAUGAAGAACUUGUUCAGAUUUGAUUUUCAACAUUGCAAUGAGUGGCGAACGGGUGAGUAACACGUGGGAAACCUACCUCUUAGCAGGGGAUAACAUUUGGAAACAAAUGCUAAUACCGUAUAAUAAAUAAAACCGCAUGGUUUUAGUUUAAAAGAUGGUCUUGCUAUCACUAAGAGAUGGUCCCGCGGUGUAUUAGUUAGUUGGUGAGGUAAUGGCUCACCAAGACAAUGAUACAUAACCGAGUUGAGAGACUGACCGGCCACAAUGGGACUGAGACACGGCCCAUACUCCUACGGGAGGCAGCAGUAGGGAAUC
Molecule: ribosomal RNA, 374 nt
Filed under: uncultured bacterium
Lineage: Bacteria
Description: bacterial SSU rRNA
Rfam family: Bacterial small subunit ribosomal RNA
Source: RNAcentral